GAUGAACGCUGGCGGCGUGCUUAACACAUGCAAGUCGAACGAUGAAGCCCAGCUUGCUGGGUGGAUUAGUGGCGAACGGGUGAGUAACACGUGAGUAACCUGCCCUUAACUCUGGGAUAAGCCUGGGAAACUGGGUCUAUUACCGGAUAGAGGGGCCUACGGAAGGGGGGGGGUUGGAAGUGUUUUUGGGUUUUGGAUGGACUCGCGCCCUAUCAGCUUGUUUGGGGGGUAGUGGCUAACCAGGGCGACGACGGGUAGCCGGCCUGGGAGGGUGACCUGCCACACUGGGACUGAGACACGGCCCAGACUCCUACGGGAGGCAGCAGUGGGGAAUAUUGCACAAUGGGCGAAAGCCUGAUGCAGCGACGCCGCGUGAGGGAUGACGGCCUUCGGGUUGUAAACCUCUUUCAGUAGGGAAGAAGCGAAAGUGACGGUACCUGCAGAAGAAGCACCGGCUAACUACGUG
RNAcentral lists this ribosomal RNA (466 nucleotides) under uncultured bacterium. RNAcentral describes it as "partial 16S ribosomal RNA". It matches the Rfam family "Bacterial small subunit ribosomal RNA", at positions 28 to 507 of the family's 1533-position model. The record is from RNAcentral.